RNAcentral lists this microRNA (24 nucleotides) under Polistes canadensis. Its description in RNAcentral is "pca-miR-3782-5p". Lineage: Eukaryota; Metazoa; Arthropoda; Insecta; Hymenoptera; Vespidae. The record is from miRBase by way of RNAcentral.
CCUUCAGAGACACCUCGCGGAUAC